AUCCUGCCACUACAUAAGCCAAAAUACUGCAAAACAUCGGAGAAAUCAAUGUCCCUGCAUGUUGAAGGCAAUCUUUUCUGGAGGAUAUUGUCUGUGUUGGCCCUAGCAUUAUUGAAGAGCAGCCCCAGCAUUGAAGUGAAGAUUUCUCCUCCCAAUAGCAUCUGAAGGAUCAAAACCCAGAGCUGCUGGUCAGAGAAGUCCUCCAUCUCGACUGUUGCCAUGCUUGAGACUGUCAAUGUGGACACAGAGGUGAAGAUGAGGUCCAGGUUCCUUGGAGUUGGCUUAUGCUGUGGCUUGAGAUUCUUCAGAGCAAGGAAACCAGCAAAGGAUGUUGACAUGAAGUAAAUAAGCUGAAGUAAUAAAGGAUUGCUUUGGAAGAACAUGUAAAAGCGUCUGAAAAAAUAGUUUGCACAUUUGGCGAUGGAACCAAGCCUCAUGGACAGAAACACAUGAAGGUGCUUCACUUUCUCCUUAGCGAUCCUAACCACUUUGGAAUUGGCUAACGGGAGCUUCAUGGAUAAUGGCAAAUGCCGCAUGGUAACUAGAACUGAAUGCAUCGAUGCAUUGUUGGUGGUUUGUGGGCUUUGAGUGGAGAUUGUGGGAGUUCGCAACUGGAAGCUGUUUUCAUGGUGAUAUGUAGGUCUCAAGGAUUCUCUCUUGCAACCAUUGCCUGAUGUGAUAAAUUUCUGGAGCACAAUACGUAGGAUGGAGUAUGGCAACUGUGCCAACUUUGUGUUAUUUAUGAUGCUGAUGGUGUCUAAAGGGCUCCAGCCCCAAGUACAAUUGAUGUAUGGGCAAGCAUGUGCUUCUAGUAUUAUAUUACCUAA
Phragmites australis (common reed) is the source of this 827-nucleotide long non-coding RNA. RefSeq lists it as uncharacterized. NCBI's taxonomy places the organism in Eukaryota, Viridiplantae, Streptophyta, Magnoliopsida, Poales, Poaceae. The transcript has 2 exons. The record is from RefSeq and is a predicted model, not a curated record.